RNAcentral lists this ribosomal RNA (471 nucleotides) under uncultured bacterium. Its description in RNAcentral is "bacterial SSU rRNA". It matches the Rfam family "Bacterial small subunit ribosomal RNA", at positions 8 to 525 of the family's 1533-position model. The record is from RNAcentral.
AGAGUUUGAUCCUGGCUCAGAGCGAACGCUGGCGGCAGGCUUAACACAUGCAAGUCGAGCGCAUCCUUCGGGGUGAGUGGCAGACGGGUGAGUAACACGUGGGAACGUACCUUUUGGUUCGGAACAACUGAGGGAAACUUCAGCUAAUACCGGAUACGCCCUUAUGGGGAAAGAUUUACCGCCGAAAGAUCGGCCCGCGUCUGAUUAGCUAGUUGGUGAGGUAAUGGCUCACCAAGGCGACGAUCAGUAGCUGGUCUGAGAGGAUGAUCAGCCACACUGGGACUGAGACACGGCCCAGACUCCUACGGGAGGCAGCAGUGGGGAAUAUUGGACAAUGGGCGCAAGCCUGAUCCAGCCAUGCCGCGUGAGUGAUGAAGGCCUUAGGGUUGUAAAGCUCUUUUAUCCGGGACGAUAAUGACGGUACCGGAAGAAUAAGCCCCGGCUAACUUCGUGCCAGCAGCCGCGGUAAUA